AGCGAACGCUGGCGGCAGGCUUAACACAUGCAAGUCGAACGAAGCCUUCGGGCUUAGUGGCGGACGGGUGAGUAACACGUGGGAACGUACCUUUUGGUUCGGAACAACACAGGGAAACUUGUGCUAAUACCGAAUGAGCCCUUAGGGGGAAAGAUUUAUCGCCAUUAGAGCGGCCCGCGUUGGAUUAGCUAGUUGGUGGGGUAAAGGCCCACCAAGGCUACGAUCCAUAGCUGGUCUGAGAGGAUGAUCAGCCACACUGGGACUGAGACACGGCCCAGACUCCUACGGGAGGCAGCAGUGGGGAAUCUUGCGCAAUGGGCGAAAGCCUGACGCAGCCAUGCCGCGUGAAUGAUGAAGGUCUUAGGAUUGUAAAAUUCUUUUACCAGGGACGAUAAUGACGGUACCUGGAGAAAAAGCUCCGGCUAACUUCGUGCCAGCAGCCGCCGUAA
This 449-nucleotide ribosomal RNA is filed under the name uncultured bacterium. RNAcentral's name for it is "partial 16S ribosomal RNA". It matches the Rfam family "Bacterial small subunit ribosomal RNA", at positions 29 to 523 of the family's 1533-position model. The record is from RNAcentral.